ACUGAGCUUAGAGUUUGAUCCUGGCUCAGGAUGAACGUUGGCGGCGUGCCUGAGAUAUGCAAGUCGAGCGUCUCAAUUGACCCCGCAAGGGGUUGAUUGGGUAGCGGCGGACGGCUGAGUAACACGUAGGUACCUGCCCCUAUCUCAACCAUAGCCUAGCGAAAGCUGGGGUAAUAGUUGAUAGUCCUCAAUUUGGGGUAAAGGGCAUAACUGCCCGGAUAGGGAGGGGCCUGCGGCCCAUCAGGUAGUUGGUAGGGUAACGGCCUACCAAGCCUAUGACGGGUAGCUGGUCUGGGAGGAUGGUCAGCCAGAGGGGGACUGAGACACGGCCCCCACUCCUACGGGAGGCAGCAAUCAGGAAUAGUCGGCAAUGGGCGAAAGCCUGACCGCGCGACGCCACGUGCGGGAUGAAGCCCUAACGGGUGUAAACCGCUGUGGUAGGAGAUGAAGACCUCCGAUUCGGAGGUUUGACAGUAUCCUACUAGAAAGGGGCCACUAACUGCGUGCCAGAAGCGUCGGUAAUACGUGGGCCCCAAACGUUAUCCGGUUUUACUGGGUGUAAAAGGUCGCGUAGGCGUUCAGGCAAGUUUUACCUCAAAGUCUUCCGCUCAACGGAAGAAAGGGGUAAAAAACUACCUGAAUAGAGUUAUCUUCAGGGGAAUUGGAACUCAGAGAGAAGCAGUGAAAUGCGUUGAUACUCUGUGGAACACCAGUGGCGAAAGCGAAUUCCUGGAAGAUAACUGACGCUGAGGCACGAAAGCUAGGGGAGCGAAGCAGAUUAGAGACCUGCGUAGUCCUAGCCGUAAACGCAUGCUUGCUAGCUGUGCUUUAUUCGCUUUAAGCGUAAUAAGGCGUGGCGAAGGAAACCCGUUAAGCAAGCUACCUGGGGAGUACGGCUGCAAGGCUAAAACUCAAAGGAAUUGGCGGGGAGGCACACAACUAGUGGAACAUGUGGUUCAAUUCGAGACGAACCGAAGAACCCUACCAAGGCUUGACAUCCCGUCGAAGGUGAUCCGAAAGGAUCGCCGUCCGCAAGGACGGCGGGACAGGUGCUGCAUGGCUGUCGUCAGCUCGUUCCGUGAGGAGUGCCCUUAAGUGGGACAACGAGCGCAACUCCCGCUCCGAGUUAAAUCUGUCUCGGAGAACUGCCUCCUGACUUUCAGGGGGAGGAAGGAGGGACAGACGUCAAGUCAGCAUGGCCCUUAUGCCUUGGGCUACACACAUGUUACAAUGGGAGCGACAAAGGGAAGCAAGCUCGCAAGAGCAAGCAAAUCCCUAAAAAGCUCUCUCAGUGGGGAUUGAUGUCUGCAACUCGACAUCAUGAACGCGGAAUUAGUAGUAAUCGCGAAUCAGCCAUGUCGCGGUGAAUACGUUCUUGCCUCUUGCACACACCGCCCGUCAAGCCAACAAAGUCGGGGAUAGUCGAACCCUCCGAUUCGGAGGGGAGAUUAUUCCUGGCGAUGGGGGUUAAGUCGUAACAAGGUAACC
This 1488-nucleotide ribosomal RNA is filed under the name uncultured bacterium. RNAcentral's name for it is "16S ribosomal RNA". It matches the Rfam family "Bacterial small subunit ribosomal RNA". The record is from RNAcentral.